GACGAACGCUGGCGGCGUGCUUAACACAUGCAAGUCGAACGGUGAAGCUCCAGCUUGCUGGAGUGGAUCAGUGGCGAACGGGUGAGUAACACGUGAGCAACCUGCCCCUGACUCUGGAAUAAGCGCUGGAAACGGCGUCUAAUACUGGAUACGAGAAGGGUCCGCAUGGGCACUUUCUGGAAAGUUUUUCGGUUGGGGAUGGGCUCGCGGCCUAUCAGCUUGUUGGUGAGGUAAUGGCUCACCAAGGCGACGACGGGUAGCCGGCCUGAGAGGGCGACCGGCCACACAGGGACUGAGACACGGCCCAGACUCCUACGGGAGGCAGCAGUGGGGAAUAUUGCACAAUGGGCGAAAGCCUGAUGCAGCGACGCCGCGUGAGGGAUGACGGCCUUCGGGUUGUAAACCUCUUUCAGCAGGGAAGAAGCGAAAGUGACGGUACCUGCAGAAGAAGCACCGGCUAACUACGUG
This 468-nucleotide ribosomal RNA is filed under the name uncultured bacterium. Its description in RNAcentral is "partial 16S ribosomal RNA". It matches the Rfam family "Bacterial small subunit ribosomal RNA", at positions 28 to 507 of the family's 1533-position model. The record is from RNAcentral.